Molecule: ribosomal RNA, 253 nt
Filed under: uncultured bacterium
Lineage: Bacteria
Description: partial 16S ribosomal RNA
Rfam family: Bacterial small subunit ribosomal RNA
Source: RNAcentral
UACAGAGGGGGCUAUCGUUGUUCGGAAUCACUGGGCGUAAAGCGCACGCAGGCGGAUCGAUAAGUCGGGGGUGAAAGCCCGGGGCUCAACCUCGGAAUUGCCUUCGAUACUGUCGGUCUCGAGUCCGGGAGAGGUGAGUGGAAUUCCUAGUGUAGAGGUGAAAUUCGUAGAUAUUAGGAAGAACACCAGUGGCGAAGGCGGCUCACUGGCCCGGUACUGACGCUCAGGUGCGAAAGCGUGGGGAGGAAACAGG